RNAcentral lists this ribosomal RNA (497 nucleotides) under uncultured bacterium. RNAcentral's name for it is "partial 16S ribosomal RNA". It matches the Rfam family "Bacterial small subunit ribosomal RNA", at positions 28 to 507 of the family's 1533-position model. The record is from RNAcentral.
GAUGAACGCUGGCGGCGUGCCUAAUACAUGCAAGUCGAGCGAACGGACGAGAAGCUUGCUUCUCUGAUGUUAGCGGCGGACGGGUGAGUAACACGUGGAUAACCUACCUAUAAGACUGGGAUAACUUCGGGAAACCGGAGCUAAUACCGGAUAAUAUUUUGAACCGCAUGGUUCCAAAGUGAAAGACGGUCUUGCUGUCACUUAUAGAUGGAUCCGCGCUGCAUUAGCUAGUUGGUAAGGUAACGGCUUACCAAGGCAACGAUGCAUAGCCGACCUGAGAGGGUGAUCGGCCACACUGGGACUGAGACACGGUCCAGACUCCUACGGGAGGCAGCAGUAGGGAAUCUUCCGCAAUGGGCGAAAGCCUGACGGAGCAACGCCGCGUGAGUGAUGAAGGUCUUCGGAUCGUAAAACUCUGUUAUUAGGGAAGAACAUAUGUGUAAGUAACUGUGCACAUCUUGACGGUACCUAAUCAGAAAGCCACGGCUAACUACGUG